UUAUAUGAGAGUUUGAUCCUGGCUCAGGACGAACGCUGGCGGCAUGCCUAAUACAUGCAAGUCGAACGCACGAAGUUGAAAAGCUUGCUUUUCGACCAAGUGAGUGGCGGACGGGUGAGUAACACGUGGGUAACCUGCCCAUAAGAGGGGGAUAACAUYCGGAAACGGAUGCUAAUACCGCAUAUUUCAAAUGACCGCAUGGUCGCUUGAUGAAAGGUGGCUUCGGCURCCGCUUAUGGAUGGACCCGCGGUGCAUUAGUUAGUUGGUGAGGUAAUGGCUCACCAAGACAAUGAUGCAUAGCCGACCUGAGAGGGUGAUCGGCCACACUGGGACUGAGACACGGCCCAGACUCCUACGGGAGGCAGCAGUAGGGAAUCUUCCGCAAUGGACGAAAGUCUGACGGAGCAAUGCCGCGUGAGUGAAGAAGGUUUUCGGAUCGUAAAACUCUGUUGUUAGAGAAGA
This 463-nucleotide ribosomal RNA is filed under the name Carnobacterium divergens. Its description in RNAcentral is "bacterial SSU rRNA". The record is from RNAcentral. Lineage: Bacteria; Bacillati; Bacillota; Bacilli; Lactobacillales; Carnobacteriaceae.